GUCCCUGUAGCGCAAUGGAUAGCGCGUUGGACUUCUAAUCCAAAGGUCGUGGGUUCGAAUCCUGCCUGGGAUG
Molecule: non-coding RNA, 73 nt
Organism: Trichonephila inaurata madagascariensis
Lineage: Eukaryota; Metazoa; Arthropoda; Arachnida; Araneae; Nephilidae
Source: the annotation of a GenBank genome assembly